UAGGCUUGACAUACACGGGAAACCCUUCAGAAACGGAGGGCCCUCUUCGGAGCCCGUGCACAGGUGCUGCAUGGGCUGUCGUCAGCUCGUGUCGUGAGAUGUUGGGUUAAGUCCCGCAACGAGCGCAACCCCUGUCUCUAGUUGCCAGCGCGUCAAGGCGGGGACUCUAGAGAGACUGCCGGUGCCAAACCGGAGGAAGGUGGGGAUGACGUCAAGUCAUCAUGGUCCUUACGUCUAGGG
This 240-nucleotide ribosomal RNA is filed under the name uncultured bacterium. Its description in RNAcentral is "partial 16S ribosomal RNA". It matches the Rfam family "Bacterial small subunit ribosomal RNA", at positions 976 to 1213 of the family's 1533-position model. The record is from RNAcentral.